This is a long non-coding RNA of Stegodyphus dumicola, 297 nucleotides long. The record is from RefSeq and is a predicted model, not a curated record. Lineage: Eukaryota; Metazoa; Arthropoda; Arachnida; Araneae; Eresidae.
CUUCCCGUUUAAGGAAAACCUCCUUGUAUAAAAGAAAUUUUCGCUUCCAAGUAAGUCACUUUUGAAGUUGACUAGAUCUAAAAAUGUGCACUGCAGUCUGUGUUUGGGCUUUUUUGCUUCUGUCUUGCGUAACAGUCAACGCUGGCUUGAUAGCAGAUUUCGACGAAUAUAAAUCAGAAAGGGAGCUCAGAAAAUACCUCUUUGAUGAAUAUGAUAAACUUGUCAGACCUGUUAUGAUACCUUCCAGAAAGGUCAACGUUUCUGCGGGACUUGCGCUAUUGUUUCUACGAGAACUGG